AAUUUAUUGGUUAAAAUGAAAGUAAACUUUAUUUAAGACUGUAUCAAAUUUUACCUUGUUAAAGUUACAGUGUUUAAAAAGUAAUUUACAUGGGCAGUUUCACAUUUGCUAAACUUCAAGUACAAUUCAUUGGAGAAACUAUAUAAAUGAUUAAGAUAACAAAAAUUAA
RNAcentral lists this microRNA precursor (169 nucleotides) under Otolemur garnettii (small-eared galago). RNAcentral describes it as "miRNA (ENSOGAG00000033862.1)". Lineage: Eukaryota; Metazoa; Chordata; Mammalia; Primates; Galagidae. The record is from RNAcentral.